GCUAGUUCCUCUUGUCGUUGAUGGGGAGGUUUGUAAGGAGCAGCACCAGCAGCCAACGCCUCUGACACAAAUCCAUCCAGAAAUGACAGAGAAGAAUCCACCUGGACAAGAUUAUGACUAAACUCCAGCAUCUUCUCGACAAUGACUGUGACAUUCUGGGCGUUUGUGAUCCGAAAGAGCAACUCCAGCGUCUGCAAGAAAACAGAAAAAAAGACCCAUCAUGCAGUAAAACCCACCACUCUGCGACAUCAGAAUUCUGACAACAUCAGCAUCUGAACUCACCUCCCGCUUGAUAAUGAGGUCAGGAUGAUCAAGACACUCGAUGAUGGUCAUCUGAUGCUGCAGAGCCAGCUUAGGAUCCUGCUGGACCACGAAGGAGAGUAUUCUAAGAAGCUGGAUCUGAAGCCAAGGAGCUGGAACGCUGUGAUAAUUAAAAUCCAUGGGCAGCUUUCCUCCCACCACCUGCUUUAAUAUGGCGACAAAACUUGCUGUCAGG
Long non-coding RNA from Acanthochromis polyacanthus (spiny chromis), 496 nucleotides. RefSeq lists it as uncharacterized. The transcript has 3 exons. Lineage: Eukaryota; Metazoa; Chordata; Actinopteri; Pomacentridae. The record is from RefSeq and is a predicted model, not a curated record.